GAUGAACGCUGGCGGCGUGCCUAAUACAUGCAAGUCGAGCGAACAGACGAGGAGCUUGCUCCUCUGACGUUAGCGGCGGACGGGUGAGUAACACGUGGAUAACCUACCUAUAAGACUGGGAUAACUUCGGGAAACCGGAGCUAAUACCGGAUAAUAUAUUGAACCGCAUGGAUCAAUAGUGAAAGACGGUUUUGCUGUCACUUAUAGAUGGAUCCGCGCCGCAUUAGCUAGUUGGUAAGGUAACGGCUUACCAAGGCAACGAUGCGUAGCCGACCUGAGAGGGUGAUCGGCCACACUGGAACUGAGACACGGUCCAGACUCCUACGGGAGGCAGCAGUAGGGAAUCUUCCGCAAUGGGCGCAAGCCUGACGGAGCAACGCCGCGUGAGUGAUGAAGGUCUUCGGAUCGUAAAACUCUGUUAUUAGGGAAGAACAAAUGUGUAAGUAACUAUGCACGUCUUGACGGUACCUAAUCAGAAAGCCACGGCUAACUACGUG
This 497-nucleotide ribosomal RNA is filed under the name uncultured bacterium. RNAcentral's name for it is "partial 16S ribosomal RNA". It matches the Rfam family "Bacterial small subunit ribosomal RNA", at positions 28 to 507 of the family's 1533-position model. The record is from RNAcentral.